CUUCUUAUAUUAGCAGUGUUCAGAGAGGACUGGUUCUAUCUGAAAUCUGCUCAUCUAGUGGAACAACUAUGGAAGCAGCGUCCCAGGAGAGUGUUACAGCCAUGAAAUAAUUAUCUACCUCACCAGGCACAAAAGGCACUGAGUGUGGAGGGAUGCUGCCAUUCCCCUGCCUGAGGGGCAGGUCAGAGGGAAGCUGUCAAGGAGGAAUAUUCAGCUGCCGCUGCACUCUCUCCCAAUACUCAUCUUUCCAAGAAGGUUUAGAGGAUGUAAAGGAAAACAUUCUGCUGUUUCUCCUGGUGAAAUCACAGGGAACUGCAUCUCUAGGUGAACACAGACAGCCUCAAGAAGAGAGUUAUUCCUCGAUACACCUCUAAUGGGUGCCACCUGCAGCACAGCUCACAAGCUGUCGCUGAGACAGAAGACUCUGAGAUGCAGUAGAUGAUGAUGGAUCUCCAGCGGCAUUUGUAGUUGUCAGUGCCAUAGCAAGCUGAUGAACACCACCUCAGCCACGGAAAGAGGACAACUUCAGGAAGGAUCAUGGUCAAACCAUUAGCUUUAUCAGCCUUUCGUUGUGUCUCUACAUCCGCAGGGAGCUGUCAUACAGGUCUGCUGGUGAAACAGAGCAGGUGAGCACUCCUCAGCUGUUAUCGCUAAGGCACGUAACUUAAAGGCACAUAGUUUCAAAUUGCUGCAAGAAAGUUUGGAGCAGCGCUGACAGCUCUCCCAGAAACCAUAGUGUUGAUGAGCUUUAGAAGCAGCAGCUACUGUGCCACCCUGACAGGAAGGAGUAGCAGCAGCCUAAAAUACUCAGCCACGCCUCCAGCUUUUGCCUCAUUCCCUAACAUAAAACAUUCAAAGAUACCCGCUUUCCCACUUAAGUUUGUAAAAUUUGUGCUAUAUGGGUGGAAGUAGUCAAGUGCAAUUGUGGCUUCCUUUAAAGCGGUGUUACAGGAAUGCUAACACCACGUAUUCCUGUAUCCCAGAAAAGGAAAGAUACUCUUCAGAGAAAAGACGGUGAAGCUCUGGAACUGGUUGCGCAGAGGCUGUCAAAUCUCCGUCCUUGGAGAUACUCCUUGUGUGAGAGGCCAAGGCCCUGGGCGACCCAGUGUAGCUUUGAAGGGUCACUGCUCUAAGCAGAACAUUGGACCAGCUGGCCUUCAGAGGUUCCUCCCAACCCAAAUUAAGAUAUAGUUGUUUGAUACUUAAUCCAGUUAACCUGGAUUAACCGGUUAACUUAUGAACUAGAUCUACUCCUGCCCUACAGACACGGAGCAGUCCUAUUCUCAAACCUCAGAAAAGUAAAAUUCAUAAAGAGAGAAGGCAGUCUCUCUAAGCAUUUAGCCUGUUCUCAAAGUUACAGCGAAGGCUGGAGAAAUUCUUCCAAAAGAGCCUUAAAAACUGUCAAAAAUGAUUAAUAAGAAUUUGGAGCUUUUCUAAGCACUGCUUUCAAUAUCUUCAGUUUUUCUGAUUUAAGAGUGUCCAGUUCGGCCUAGAUCAAAUUAGCCGUCAACUGCCAGAGUAUCUAAUUAAGUCACUGUAAACCUUUUCAAUCAGUAGAAAUUCUAGCACUGCACCAGUACAGUUCGUAUUAACAUCUAUUGUGUCCCUCCUCCACUUUACUAUUGGCUCUAGAAUAGCAACAAAUUCUCUAAUAAACUUUUUUUUUUCUUAUUUUACGCUACAGAACUGAUUGCUUUACUUACCCUAAUGACUGAGAACAAGCUGGCCUUAGCCACCUGAAACAUGAGGCAAUGCUGGAAGAUUAGCGAGUCUUAAUCAUCAUUAACAUACGUACGUUGAUUUCAUGGGCAGCAAAAUAAAUACACAAUCACUUGCUAAUCACGUCUGCAUGCUUAGAAGUCUUCAUUCUUUUCAGGAAAUGUGAUGUUCCAUUAAGCUGUAGCAGAGAAAGGCAACUGAAACUUCCAGCAGUUGACAACAAAGAUACAGCAUAAUCAUCGAGUCCUCAACAUUCAUUUCCACACAGGUUUAAUCUAAUCCUAAUCAUUUAUUAUAAGAUUAAUUUGCUCUGCUAAAGCAAGAAGAUGAAAUUGCUAUAAUGAAGACACGAUAUCACUUUCUCACAGGAAUUCAGGGCAUUUUACUC
Chroicocephalus ridibundus (black-headed gull) is the source of this 2107-nucleotide long non-coding RNA. RefSeq lists it as uncharacterized. The transcript has 5 exons. NCBI's taxonomy places the organism in Eukaryota, Metazoa, Chordata, Aves, Charadriiformes, Laridae. The record is from RefSeq and is a predicted model, not a curated record.